ACGGAGGAUGCGAGCGUUAUCCGGAUUUAUUGGGUUUAAAGGGUGCGUAGGCGGUCCGUUAAGUCAGCGGUAAAAUUGCGGGGCUCAACCCCGUCGAGCCGUUGAAACUGGCAGACUUGAGUUGGCGAGAAGUACGCGGAAUGCGCGGUGUAGCGGUGAAAUGCAUAGAUAUCGCGCAGAACUCCGAUUGCGAAGGCAGCGUACCGGCGCCAGACUGACGCUGAGGCACGAAAGCGUGGGGAUCGAA
Molecule: ribosomal RNA, 247 nt
Filed under: uncultured bacterium
Lineage: Bacteria
Description: partial 16S ribosomal RNA
Rfam family: Bacterial small subunit ribosomal RNA
Source: RNAcentral